This 1007-nucleotide long non-coding RNA is filed under the name Aotus nancymaae (Ma's night monkey). RNAcentral describes it as "lncRNA (ENSANAG00000038929.1)". The record is from RNAcentral. Lineage: Eukaryota; Metazoa; Chordata; Mammalia; Primates; Aotidae.
CCGGGGGGCCCAGACCCAGGAGCACCCAGGGCUGAGCUGGCCAGGGUGCCCGCCCCUGCAGUGAGGUGGGAGUGUGUGUGUGCACGAGGGUGUGUCUGUGUGAGACGUGUGGCCUUCUGGGGUGUGUGUCACAUGCGUAUGUCAGAUGUGUGAGGUGUGUAAGGCAUGUGGGUGUGUGACGUGUUUGUGAGUGCAUGUCAGGUGUGUGUGUGUCAGGUGUGUGAGUUGUGAGGUGUGAUGUCAGGUGUGUGUUAUGACAUAUGUGUAACCUGUGUGUGUGAAGUGUGAAAUGUUUGUGUGGUGUGUAUAUAUGUGUGAGGUAUGUGGGUGAGCUGUGCGUGAGGGCUGUGUGUCAGGUGUGUGAGGUAUGUGAUGCUUGUGUGAUGUGUGUCACGGGUGUGUGAGACGUGUUGAGUGUGUGUGUCAGGUGUCUGCUGGGGCAACAGGUGUGUCUGAGUCAGGUGUGUGUCAGGGGUGUGUGAGGACUCUAUGCCACCUGUGUGGGAGGAUGCGUUGGGGUGCAUGUGUCAGGAGUGUGAGGGGUGUGUGUGCAUCUGGGAUAUGUGUGUGAGGGGAGUGUGUGGAGGUAUCUGGGGUGUAUGUUAGAGGUUUGUGUGGGCGGUGUCUGUGUCUAGGGUGUGUGUGUCAAGAGUGUGUGUGGCACCAGGGUGUCAGCUGGGGUGUAUGUGUGAAGGGCGUGUGUGUGGGGUGUGCAGGUCAGGGACAUGUGUGUCAGGUGUGCAUGUGUGAGGUGUGUGUGUCUGGGGGUGUGUCAGGUGUGUGUGCCUGGGGUGUGAGCUGUGUGUCUGGGGUGUGUCAGGUGUGUGUGUCUGGGGUGUGGUGUCUGGGGGUGUGUGUCAGGUGUGUGUGCCUGGUGUGUGAGGUGUGUGUGUCUGGGGGGUGUCAGGUGUGUGUGUCUGGUGUGUGAGGUGUGCGUGUGUCUGGGGGUGUGUGUCAGCUGCGCGUGCGGUGGGGCCCGGGCAGGGUCGGAGGGGCGCAUGCGCGGC